GGCCCCGCCCAGGCUCUGGUCCCUGCGACCAGCUUCCGGAGCCGCGCCGCCAAUUCGCUCCCCUAGUCCUGCUGGGGUUCCCAGCGGCUUACGAAGCGGCGAGUGACCGUAACAGUGAGCGGUCCUGCCGAGAGCGCCCCGGUGCCCGGCUCCGUCCGAACACUCAUGUCAUAUUCACUCUGCGAAGUAAACGUCUUUAAAAACUGCGUUACCGGCGACGAAACAGACUCGGGAAAGGGAGACUCGCCUGUCCAAAGUCGCGGCUAAGGAGCGAGGACCGCGUUUCAGGGCCGGUCUGACUGGUUCCCGGCCCGCGCCCCCGCCAUGCGCUGCUGCAACAGUCACCUGGUGACGCUGCAGCCCUCCCCGCCCUCCCCUGAAACCAGAGAGGGCUGGGGACACUUUUUAAACGAAGUGUCCUGAUUACUGGUCCUCAGCUCUCGGGCAGCGGUGCCUUUGUGAGGUCCUUAUUUGUGGAUGGUUCGUGGAGGGAGCAGCCCUAAGCCGGGGCCAGGCGAACUACACGGCUGAACUGCCUUGUCGUCCUGCAGUCUUCCUUCACAGUCAGUUCGUCCUCCCCAGCUCCUCCUCCAGGAUUUUUUCUGUCGCUGGUUAGAUUGUCCCGCCCACUUUCUGCCUUCCGGCUGGCUGUGUCCUGCCCUCACUCUCCCCAGACCGGUCCCGUGACUGUGACUGUAGGCAAACUUCCCUGUGGUUUCUUGCACCCUCUAGAAGCUUGUGCAACACCACCCUGACAGGAAGGGACCAGGCCCCUCGCCCUCACCCCUGUUCCCUCAUCACUCUGCUCAGAGGGUUUGUGACUCAAAGCCUCUAGCACACUUGCAUGUUUUGGAGAAGAGUACAAGAUGCAAUCCUCUAACUAUUGUUUGAGAUAAAAUUGUUAUUGUGGUCGAACCUCUUUGCCCGGCCAUUCAGUUGGAAACAGUGCAGGGUGAAUGACAAGCCUCUGGGGAAGGAACCCUGGCUUCUGUCCUUCUCAGCCUAUGACCUUGAGCAAGUCAUGACCUUCUCCCAGCCUCAACUUUCUCAUCAGCAAAAUGGGGAUAACAAUUAUCUGCAAAAUGAGGCUAAUGUCAGCUUUGGCUUUCCCAUAGGGUUGUUGUAAAGAUAAAAUGCAAUAAAAGUAUGUGAGAGCAACUUGUCAACUGGGAAGCCAGCCCUUCAUAUCUGUGAGUUAUUCCUAGGAUGUUGUGGGAAAUGAGGUUUUGGGAAAACAGACUAUUGAUCCAUUUAUUGAAACUCAUUUAUUUAACAAGUGUGCUUUGAAGGCUGGCUGUGUUCCAGGCCUCAGGUGAGAGGUGAGCUUGAAUGAACCCACCCUGCUCCAGUUCCCCUCUGCAGUGGCCCAGAGGGAGGCUCCUGUGCUCUUGGCAAUAGGGGUUAGUUUAAGGAAUCAGAUGCCCCAUGACCUGGCCCCUAGAAGGGAUGGUCUGUAGGACAACUGGCUCCCCAGGCCUCCCUUGGCUCUCAGGCCCCACUUCAGAGGCAUCAUCUCCUGCCAGGAUGUCAGCUUCACUUUCAGCCAUUUCUGUCACCUGCUCUCUCUGUUCUUUCUGUACUUCCUAACUUCUGUUUACUCAUUUGUACUUCCUCCACUCUCUGAACUCUGCACGUCAGGACAUUUCAGCGGGGCUUCCCUUAACUGACUCAGAGACAAUCUCACAGUGAACUCCUGGUUUGAGUCAGGGUGUGUCCUAGGUGUCUGCACUGCCACCAGUCAGGGUGUGUCCUUGGUGUCUGCACUGACACUAGGUGCCAAGAUCCAUGAGCAAAGUGAAGCCUCAGGAGAUUAGCCCUGAGCUAGCAUCUGCUGCCAAUCCUCCUCUUUUUGCUGAGGAAGAUUGACCCUGAGCUAACAUCUGUACCCAUC
This 1891-nucleotide long non-coding RNA is filed under the name Equus caballus (horse). RNAcentral describes it as "lncRNA (ENSECAG00000046070.1)". The record is from RNAcentral. Lineage: Eukaryota; Metazoa; Chordata; Mammalia; Perissodactyla; Equidae.